Molecule: ribosomal RNA, 466 nt
Filed under: uncultured bacterium
Lineage: Bacteria
Description: partial 16S ribosomal RNA
Rfam family: Bacterial small subunit ribosomal RNA
Source: RNAcentral
GACGAACGCUGGCGGCGUGCUUAACACAUGCAAGUCGAACGGAAAGGCCCUGCUUGCAGGUUGCUCGAGUGGCGAACGGGUGAGUAACGCCUGGGUGUUCUGCCGGUCGCGUCGGGUUACGCCUGGGAAACUGGGUCUAUUACCCGUUAGUCGCGAGGGUUAGUGUGGUGGUUGUUAAGAUCUUUUGCGUGUAGGUUGAGCUCGCGGCCUAUCAGCUUUUUGGGGGGGUAAUGGCCUACCAAGGCGGCGACGGGUAGACGUCCAGAGAGGGUGUACGGCCACACUGGGACUGAGAGACGGCACAGACUGCUAAGGGAGGCAGAAGUGGGGAAGAUUGAACCAUGGGCGCAAGCCUGAUGAAGAGAGGCCGCGGGGGGGAUGGCGGCCUACGGGUUGUAAACGCCUUUCGAUAGGGAAGAAGCUUGUUGUGACGGUACCUAGAUAAGAAGCACCGGCUAACUACGUG